GAUGAACGCUGGCGGCGUGCUUAACACAUGCAAGUCGAACGGUGAAGCAGGAGCUUGCUCUUGUGGAUCAGUGGCGAACGGGUGAGUAACACGUGAGCAACCUGCCCCUGACUCUGGGAUAAGCGCUGGAAACGGCGUCUAAUACUGGAUAUGUGAUGUGACCGCAUGGUCUGCAUCUGGAAAGAAUUUCGGUUGGGGAUGGGCUCGCGGCCUAUCAGCUUGUUGGUGAGGUAAUGGCUCACCAAGGCGUCGACGGGUAGCCGGCCUGAGAGGGUGACCGGCCACACUGGGACUGAGAUACGGCCCAGACUCCUACGGGAGGCAGCAGUGGGGAAUAUUGCACAAUGGGCGCAAGCCUGAUGCAGCGACGCCGCGUGAGGGAUGACGGCCUUCGGGUUGUAAACCUCUUUUAGCAGGGAAGAAGCGAAAGUGACGGUACCUGCAGAAAAAGCACCGGCUAACUACGUGCCAGCCGCCGCCGUAA
This 484-nucleotide ribosomal RNA is filed under the name uncultured bacterium. Its description in RNAcentral is "partial 16S ribosomal RNA". It matches the Rfam family "Bacterial small subunit ribosomal RNA", at positions 28 to 523 of the family's 1533-position model. The record is from RNAcentral.